This 27-nucleotide non-coding RNA is filed under the name Homo sapiens (human). Lineage: Eukaryota; Metazoa; Chordata; Mammalia; Primates; Hominidae. The record is from RNAcentral.
AACCAGAGCAAAGAAAUGGCCCAGUGC